This 467-nucleotide ribosomal RNA is filed under the name uncultured bacterium. RNAcentral's name for it is "bacterial SSU rRNA". It matches the Rfam family "Bacterial small subunit ribosomal RNA", at positions 328 to 792 of the family's 1533-position model. The record is from RNAcentral.
UGACCAGACUCCUACGGGAGGCAGCAGUGAGGAAUAUUGGUCAAUGGGCGGGAGCCUGAACCAGCCAAGCCGCGUGAGGGAAGAAGGUACAGCGUAUCUUAAACCUCUUUUGUCAGGGAACAAAGGCGGGGACUAGUCCCCGGAUGAGGGUACCUGAAGAAUAAGCACCGGCUAACUACGUGCCAGCAGCCGCGGUAAUACGUAGGGUGCGAGCGUUAAUCGGAAUUACUGGGCGUAAAGGGUGUGCAGGCGGCUGAGUAAGACAGAUGUGAAAUCCCCGGGCUUAACCUGGGAACCGCAUAUGUGACUGCUUGGCUAGAGUGCGUCAGAGGGAGGUGGAAUUCCACGUGUAGCAGUGAAAUGCGUAGAUAUGUGGAAGAACACCGAUGGCGAAGGCAGCCUCCUGGGACGCAACUGACGCUCAUACACGAAAGCGUGGGGAGCAAACAGGAUUAGAUACCCCCGUA